Molecule: ribosomal RNA, 505 nt
Filed under: Cervidellus vexilliger
Lineage: Eukaryota; Metazoa; Nematoda; Chromadorea; Rhabditida; Cephalobidae
Description: SSU rRNA
Rfam family: Eukaryotic small subunit ribosomal RNA
Source: RNAcentral
CGCGAAUGGCUCAUUACAACAGCUAAAAUUUACUCGAUCUUGACACAAUCCUACUUGGAUAACUGUGGUAAUUCUAGAGCUAAUACAUGCAUUAAAGCUCUGACCUUCGGGGAAGAGUGCAUUUAUUAGAACAAAACCAAGCGGCUUCGGCUGUUUUCGGUUGACUCAUAGUAACUGAGCUGAUCGCAUGGUCUUGCACCGGCGACGUGUCGUUCAAGUAUCUGCCGUAUCAACUUUCGAUGGUGGUGUAUCUGACUACCAUGGUGAUCACGCGUAACGGAGAAUAAGGGUUCGACUCCGGAGAGUUCGCCUGAGAAAUCGCGAACACAUCUAAGGAAGGCAGCAGGCGCGAAAAUUACCCACUCUCAGCACGAGGAGGUAGUGACGAAAAAUAACGAGACCGUUCUCUUAUGAGGCCGGUCAUCGGAAUGGGUACAAUUUAAACCCUUUAACGAGUAUCUAUGAGAGGGCAAGUCUGGUGCCAGCAGCCGCGGUAAUUCCAGCU